Molecule: ribosomal RNA, 433 nt
Filed under: uncultured bacterium
Lineage: Bacteria
Description: partial 16S ribosomal RNA
Rfam family: Bacterial small subunit ribosomal RNA
Source: RNAcentral
AGCGAACGCUGGCGGCAGGCCUAACACAUGCAAGUCGAACGGAUCCUUCGGGAUUAGUGGCGGACGGGUGGGUAACACGUGGGAACGUGCCCUUUGGUUCGGAACAACUCAGGGAAACUUGAGCUAAUACCGGAUGUGCCCUUCGGGGGAAAGAUUUAUCGCCAUUGGAGCGGCCCGCGUCUGAUUAGCUAGUUGGUGAGGUAACGGCCCACCAAGGCGACGAUCAGUAGCUGGUCUGAGAGGAUGAUCAGCCACACUGGGACUGAGACACGGCCCAGACUCCUACGGGAGGCAGCAGUGGGGAAUCUUGCGCAAUGGGCGAAAGCCUGACGCAGCCAUGCCGCGUGAAUGAUGAGGGUCCUAGGAUUGUAAAAUUCUUUCAGCGGGGACGAUAAUGACGGUACCCGCAGAAGAAGCUCCGGCUAACUUCGUG